Molecule: ribosomal RNA, 497 nt
Filed under: uncultured bacterium
Lineage: Bacteria
Description: partial 16S ribosomal RNA
Rfam family: Bacterial small subunit ribosomal RNA
Source: RNAcentral
GAUGAACGCUGGCGGCGUGCCUAAUACAUGCCAGUCGAGCGAACGGACGAGAAGCUUGCUUCUCUGAUGUUAGCGGCGGACGGGUGAGUAACACGUGGAUAACCUACCUAUAAGACUGGGAUAACUUCGGGAAACCGGAGCUAAUACCGGAUAAUAUUUUGAACCGCAUGGUUCAAAAGUGAAAGACGGUCUUGCUGUCACUUAUAGAUGGAUCCGCGCUGCACUAGCUAGUUGGUAAGGUAACGGCUUACCAAGGCAACGAUGCAUAGCCGACCUGAGAGGGUGAUCGGCCACACUGGAACUGAGACACGGUCCAGACUCCUACGGGAGGCAGCAGUAGGGAAUCUUCCGCAAUGGGCGAAAGCCUGACGGAGCAACGCCGCGUGAGUGAUGAAGGUCUUCGGAUCGUAAAACUCUGUUAUUAGGGAAGAACAUAUGUGUAAGUAACUGUGCACAUCUUGACGGUACCUAAUCAGAAAGCCACGGCUAACUACGUG